UACGUAUGGGGCAAGCGUUAUCCGGAUUUACUGGGUGUAAAGGGAGCGUAGGCGGUACGGCAAGUCAGAAGUGAAAGCCUGGGGCUCAACCCCGGAAUUGCUUUUGAAACUGUCGAACUAGAGUGCCGGAGGGGUAAGCGGAAUUCCUAGUGUAGCGGUGAAAUGCGUAGAUAUUAGGAGGAACACCGGUGGCGAAGGCGGCUUACUGGACGACCACUGACGCUGAGGCUCGAAAGCGUGGGGAGCAAACAGG
This 253-nucleotide ribosomal RNA is filed under the name uncultured bacterium. RNAcentral describes it as "partial 16S ribosomal RNA". It matches the Rfam family "Bacterial small subunit ribosomal RNA", at positions 524 to 776 of the family's 1533-position model. The record is from RNAcentral.